CGCGUAAGGGGAACCUGCGGAGGGAUCAUUACACAACAAAAAUAUGAGGGUGUGGUUUGCUGGCAACAGCGUCCGCCCCAAGUAUUUUUCACCCAUGUCUUUUGCGCACUUUUUGUUUCCUGGGCGAGUUCGCUCGCCACCAGGACCCAACCAUAAACCUUUUUUUAUGCAGUUGCAAUCAGCGUCAGUAUAAUAAUUCAAUUUAUUAAAACUUUCAACAACGGAUCUCUUGGUUCUGGCAUCGAUGAAGAACGCAGCGAAAUGCGAUACGUAGUGUGAAUUGCAGAAUUCAGUGAAUCAUCGAAUCUUUGAACGCACAUUGCGCCCUUUGGUAUUCCAAAGGGCAUGCCUGUUCGAGCGUCAUUUGUACCCUCAAGCUUUGCUUGGUGUUGGGCGUCUUUUUGUCUCUCCCCUUGUUGGGGGAGACUCGCCUUAAAACGAUUGGCAGCCGACCUACUGGUUUUCGGAGCGCAGCACAAAUUUGCGCCUUCCAAUCCACGGGGCGGCAUCCAGCAAGCCUUUGUUUUCUAUAACAAAUCCACAUUUUGACCUCGGAUCAGGUAGGGAUACCCGCUGAACUUAAGCAUAUCAAAAC
RNAcentral lists this ribosomal RNA (595 nucleotides) under Exserohilum rostratum. Its description in RNAcentral is "eukaryotic LSU rRNA". The stretch from base 210 to 363 matches the Rfam family "5.8S ribosomal RNA". The record is from RNAcentral. Lineage: Eukaryota; Fungi; Ascomycota; Dothideomycetes; Pleosporales; Pleosporaceae.